Molecule: non-coding RNA, 112 nt
Organism: Acanthosepion pharaonis
Lineage: Eukaryota; Metazoa; Mollusca; Cephalopoda; Sepiida; Sepiidae
Source: the annotation of a GenBank genome assembly
UUGUGACCACAGCAUGUUGAAACACUAGUUCUUGUAUGAUCACAGAGGUUAAGCAAUGUUGAGCUGGGUCGGUACUUAGAUGGGUGACUGUUUGGGAAUACCAGGUGCUGAA